GCCUCCGUAGCUCAAUUGGCGGAGCGGCGGUCUUGUAAACCGAUGGUUGCAGGUUCAAGUCCUGUCGGAGGCUCCA
Molecule: transfer RNA, 76 nt
Filed under: Schwartzia sp. (in: firmicutes)
Lineage: Bacteria; Bacillati; Bacillota; Negativicutes; Selenomonadales; Selenomonadaceae
Description: Schwartzia sp. (gut metagenome) tRNA-Thr
Rfam family: tRNA
About the family: Transfer RNA (tRNA) molecules are approximately 80 nucleotides in length. Their secondary structure includes four short double-helical elements and three loops (D, anti-codon, and T loops). Further hydrogen bonds mediate the characteristic L-shaped molecular structure. tRNAs have two regions of fundamental functional importance: the anti-codon, which is responsible for specific mRNA codon recognition, and the 3' end, to which the tRNAs corresponding amino acid is attached (by aminoacyl-tRNA synthetases). tRNAs cope with the degeneracy of the genetic code in two manners: having more than one tRNA (with a specific anti-codon) for a particular amino acid; and 'wobble' base-pairing, i.e. permitting non-standard base-pairing at the 3rd anti-codon position.
Source: RNAcentral